Molecule: ribosomal RNA, 289 nt
Filed under: Cletocamptus helobius
Lineage: Eukaryota; Metazoa; Arthropoda; Copepoda; Harpacticoida; Cletodidae
Description: partial 16S ribosomal RNA
Source: RNAcentral
ACAAGCUACAUUUUUAAUAAGAUCUUUUUGUGUAAUUGUGCUGUUAUCCCUAAAGUAUUUUGUAUUUUUAAUCCUUAAGGUUCUUAAUCUUGGAAAAAUAAUUAUUAUUUAUAAUAAUUACCCCAAUUAAAUUUAACGUAAUAAAAAUAUUUGUUUAAAAUUUUAGGGUCUUCUCUUCUUUUUAAUUUAUUAGAGAAAUUUCUCUCUAAUUUUAAUAUUAAGUAUAAAUAGUUUAAAUCUAGGAUGUCUAAGUUUCCCCCUUCAUUCUAUUAGGAAAUUAACCUAAAAU